AGUGAACGCUGGCGGUAGGCCUAACACAUGCAAGCCGAACGGCAGCACAGUAAGAGCUUGCUCUUACGGGUGGCGAGUGGCGGACGGGUGAGGAAUAUAUCGGAAUCUACUUUUUCGUGGGGGAUAACGUAGGGAAACUUACGCUAAUACCGCAUACGACCUACGGGUGAAAGCAGGGGAUCUUCGGACCUUGCGCGAUUGAAUGAGCCGAUGUCGGAUUAGCUAGUUGGCGGGGUAAAGGCCCACCAAGGCGACGAUCCGUAGCUGGUCUGAGAGGAUGAUCAGCCACACUGGAACUGAGACACGGUCCAGACUCCUACGGGAGGCAGCAGUGGGGAAUAUUGGACAAUGGGCGCAAGCCUGAUCCAGCCAUACCGCGUGGGUGAAGAAGGCCUUCGGGUUGUAAAGCCCUUUUGUUGGGAAAGAAAAGCAGCAGGUUAAUACCCCGCUGUUCUGACGGUACCCAAAGAAUAAGCACCGGCUAACUUCGUG
This 492-nucleotide ribosomal RNA is filed under the name uncultured bacterium. Its description in RNAcentral is "partial 16S ribosomal RNA". It matches the Rfam family "Bacterial small subunit ribosomal RNA", at positions 29 to 507 of the family's 1533-position model. The record is from RNAcentral.